This 435-nucleotide ribosomal RNA is filed under the name uncultured bacterium. Its description in RNAcentral is "bacterial SSU rRNA". It matches the Rfam family "Bacterial small subunit ribosomal RNA", at positions 958 to 1392 of the family's 1533-position model. The record is from RNAcentral.
AACGCGAAGAACCUUACCGGGUCUUGACAUCCCACUGACCGGUUCAGAGAUAAGCCUUUCCCUUCGGGGACAGUGGUGACAGGUGGUGCAUGGUUGUCGUCAGCUCGUGUCGUGAGAUGUUGGGUUAAGUCCCGCAACGAGCGCAACCCUUGAUCUUAGUUGCCAGCAUUUAGUUGGGCACUCUAAGGUGACUGCCGGUGACAAACCGGAGGAAGGUGGGGAUGACGUCAAAUCAUCAUGCCCCUUAUGACCUGGGCUACACACGUGCUACAAUGGACGAUACAAAGGGCUGCAAACCCGCGAGGGGGAGCCAAUCCCAUAAAAUCGUUCUCAGUUCGGAUUGUAGGCUGCAACUCGCCUACAUGAAGCCGGAAUCGCUAGUAAUCGUGGAUCAGCAUGCCACGGUGAAUACGUUCCCGGGUCUUGUACACACCG